GACGAACGCUGGCGGCGUGCCUAAUACAUGCAAGUCGAACGCAGUGGGGACGGGUGAGUAACACGUGGGUAACCUCCCAUCAGAGGGGAUAACACUUGGAAACAGGUGCUAAACCGAUACUGAUGGAUGAACCCGCGGUGCAUUAGCUAGUUGGUGAGGUAACGGCUCACCAAGGCCACGAUGCAUAGCGGACCUGGGAGGUGGCUCGGCCACACUGGGAUGGGGACAGGGCCAAGAUCCUGACGGAGGGCGGCGGGAGGGAACCUCCGGCAAUGAAGGAAGGCCUGCCCGAGCAAGGCGGGGGAAGGGAAGAGGGUUUCGGAUCGUAAAACUCUGUUGUUAGAGAAGCGGUAUCUAACCAGAAAGCCACGGCUAACUACGUGCCAGCAGCCGCGGUAAUAC
Molecule: ribosomal RNA, 402 nt
Filed under: uncultured bacterium
Lineage: Bacteria
Description: partial 16S ribosomal RNA
Rfam family: Bacterial small subunit ribosomal RNA
Source: RNAcentral